RNAcentral lists this long non-coding RNA (5441 nucleotides) under Phoenix dactylifera (date palm). RNAcentral's name for it is "long non-coding RNA (PDAC_LNC005073)". Lineage: Eukaryota; Viridiplantae; Streptophyta; Magnoliopsida; Arecales; Arecaceae. The record is from RNAcentral.
UCCACUUGGUUUGUCCCUUCCCACACCUAGCAACCUUAUUUGUCUGAAAAGAACACAGAAAAAAGUGAGGUUCAUAGCUCAGUAAUAACCAUGCACUAUCUUACUAGAUCAAACAUAAUUUUUACAUUAUUUAAUGCAUCAUUAGAAAAUAACUUUUAUUACAAAUCAAGCAUUUCAUAGACAACAAUCUAUGACAUGAAAAUCCGAUCAUGCAUCCAUAAAUCAUGCAGAUUCAUAAAUAGAGUUCCAAGUAGGUAACUUAAAUAUAGUCCUAAUUCAUUAAACCAUUUUGCCAUGUAAUUAGAGCAUUUCAUAAUAACCACGUAAUAAACAUGUCAAAAAACCAAACAUGCUACUGCAUACACAAAUUCCAUAAAUAGUCGUAUCGUUCCAUAAAUAUAAUCCUCUCAAACUAGAUGCUAAGGUCACCUUAUACCGGCGACAGAAUCGUAAUCAAUUGGAUAUCAUAGUUUGCCAACUCUUAUACCGAUGGCGAGGCCAUAUGCCAACUAUUAUACCCAUUAGCAGGGUCGUACGCCAACUAUUAUACCCGCUAGCGAGAAUCGUAUGCCAACUAUUAUACUCGCUAGCGAGGGCCGUAUAUAGCUAUCUGAGAGUAUGUAAUCUUAUUUCUUAAAUCACUUUUUUAAAUAUAUUUUUUUAAAAUCAUACAUGAAUAAAGAUACUAAAUGGCUUUAUAGAGUUCGUAAUCUAAAAAUAAUUUUUAAUAAUAAAACUAUCAUGAAAUUAUUUACGGUAAAUCAACUAGUUUCAUAAAAGUUCAUAAUUCAUAAUUAGACCCUAUAUAUAUCACCUUUGUAGGAAAAUAUACUUUUUCAUAAUUUGAAAAGCAUUCACACAUAAGUAUCCAUUAGACAAUGCUAUAAAAACAUGAAUCAUUUCACAAUCAUAUACUUAAUCCUAAUUUUUAAGAAAAUGUAAAGCCAAUCAUAUUAGUAUAAUUUAUAUUUUCAUACUUUAUAUAAAUUAAAAUCAACCAAUAAUUCAAAAAUUAGUAAAGCCUGUGCUAGGGUCACUUACCUCUGUUCGUCCAAAGAUCACUAGGUUUAGAUGGGUAAAACGACCACACCUAUCCAAAACUAUUUAAGAAGAUAAGGUAAUUUAUAUUCAACUAUUUAAAAAUCUAAAUAUAAAAUAAAAAGCUCCAUGGGAUCGAAAUGGACUUGAUCUGACUUCAUACCUAAAUCGAGAAAGAGAGGUGAGAAAGACCGGUCCAAACGGUCGCAAUGGAGUCGAUCUAGGGCCCUAUAUAGGGAUCCGCCCAAGGGUGCACAGAGGAGGAGAGAAGUAGAUGUUGGAAUCCAAUAUUUUAUUUUAUUUUAUCUAUUUAUUAUUUUCUAUUUUCUCUCCUCUCUUUUUUCUCCUCUUUCUUUUUUUUCUUUCUUCUUUCUCUCUCUCUUUUUCCUUUUUUUCUUUGUUCUAUCCCUUUGUUUGGCAAAACAGGGGGCAUGAGCCCUGCCCCUCACCAGAACACGGGAAGAAGGAGAAGGCACGAUGGCCCAGCGGUGAUCGUGCUCGGUGACGACACUGGUCGCGGAAGCCAGGCAAUGGAGAAAUAACCGCCCAUAGGGGUCGCAAGGCCAUUGAAGAGAAGGACGAGGGAGAGGAGGAUGAGAGAGGGGGUCGAGGCUAUUACCUUGCUCUGGUGAGGCGGCGACUGUGAAUCCGGCGGAGAUGGGGCACAGAGAGCUUGAAGCGGCAAAAAGAAAAAAAGAUAGAGAUGGAAGAAGAGUAAAAGAGAGAGAGAGAGAGAUCAACGGAAAAAAUUGUUUAUGUUGGUCAUGGGAGUUAGGGGAAGGGAAGAAAUAGAGGGAGGAGACCGUCGAUUUCACGAUCUCCUCUUGCUCACCUUCCCAAAACGGCGAUGGGUUGACUACCGGAUCUCUUUUUGUGGGCAUUGUGUUAUUGUGGGCAACAUCCCAAGUAGCACAGCCAUCUCAUGUUCUGGAAUUGGGUUAUGACACUUAAUGAUAUCAGAGCAUAGGUUUGAUCAUCGGUAGAACUUAAAGCUUGGUAAGAAGAAGAUAAGUCUUGUCUAGUUAGAUCAUGUUUGGUUAAAAUAAAGAAUAGAUAAAUUUCCGCUUGUCCUCCCACCUUUUCACCAACUAUAAAGAUGUAUUGGAAAGGGCUUUGAAGGUUGAAGCGGACUUGAAGAGAUUCGAACAAGAGAGGGGUGACAGAAAGAGGCUUAAACCAACAGAAACCCAAAUUAACUAGCAGAAAGACUCAGAGAACAACUCUAAGAAGAAGAAUACCGAAACUUGCCGGUAUUGCGGCAAGAAUCAUGAUGGGCCUCAUCUUAAGAAGCUUUGAGCAUGCUAUCAGUGCGGCAAGGUGGGACAUCUAAUGCAAGAUUGUCUUAAAAAGAAGAAGGAUACCGGUGCAAGCAACUAAGUAGUGACAUGUACAAUUCUAAUAAACCCAGUAGAUGCUCAUGAGUCUUUUUUUUGAUUCUUCUAAGUCCUUUGUAUCUUCCAAGUUGGCUAGAUCUUUAAACUGUUUAUCUGGAAGAUAGAAUAGGCCACUGUGUUACCACUCCUCUUAAGAAAGUAAUUCUUGCUGAUGUUGUGUUUAAGAACUGCAAAUUUCGAGGAUCAAUUUUUUUUAAGAAUGGGAGAAUGUGAUAAUCUAGGUAUUUUUUGGCUGGGUGAUCUGGUAGCAGCGUGAGAAAAAAAAAGAGGAAAGAACUCACCUCCCUUUUAUUUCCAUUGCUCCUCUUUGCUGACAGACAAUCCAUCAUCAUUUUGGAAAGGUGAGGGAGAGGAGAUAGCGAAAUCGCCGGUCUCCUCCCUCUAUUUCUUCCCUUCCCCUAACUCCCAUGACCACCAUGAACAAUUUCUUCCCUUGAUCUCCCUCUCUCUUCUCCUCUUCUUGCAUCUCUAUCUUUCUUUGUUUUCACAGCUUCGAGCUCGUCGUGCCCCAUCUCCGCUAGAUUCAUGGUCUUGCCUCAUCGAAGCAAGGUAAUAGCCCCAAUCUCCUCCCUCAUCCUCCUCUCCUUCAUCCUCUUCUCCGGCCUCGCCACCCCUAUGGGCGGCCAUUUCUCCAUUGUCGGGCUCUCAAGACUGGCGCCCUCACCAGGUAAGACCACUGUCGAGCCAUCGUGCCUUCUCCCUCUUCCCUUGUUCUAGUGAAGGGUGGGCCCACGCCCCCCUAUUUUGCCUCAGAGAGAGAAGAAAGAAAAAAACGGAGAGAGAGAGAGAGAGAAAGAAGAAAGGAAAAAAAGGAAAAGGAAGAAAAGAAGAAAGAGAAAAGAUUAAAAAAUAAAUAGAUAUAAAAUAAAAUAAUGGAUCCCAUCAUCUACUUGUCCCCUCCUCUGCGUACCCUUGGGUGGACCCCUAUACAGGAUCUUAGAUCGACUCCAUUAUGACCGCUUGGAUCAAUCUUUCCCACCUCUUUUCCCCGACUUGAGUAUGAAGUCAAAUCAAGUCCAAUUCGGUCCUUUAGAGCUUCUUAUUUUAUAUUUAGAUUUUUAAAUAGUUGAAUGUAAAUUACUUUAUCUUCUUAAAUGGUUUUGGAUAGGUGUAGCUGUUUUACCCAUCUAAAUCUAGUGAUUUGUAAGGAUACAUAUGUUUAGUCCUACAUCGACUAUGCACUGGGUAGACCUUGAAUACUUAUACAACAUCAAAGAACCCAAAUAAUGCUUUUUGGCUAGCCUUUUUUGAUGAGAUCUUGGAUUGUUACAAAUGGUAUCUAAGCAGACCCAGCCCAAGACCUAUGUAAACCAAGGGAUACUGAAGCACGAGCCCAUUAGAGCUGACCAUUGGCCGAUUGUGGUGCUUGUGAUUGGAUUUGAAUAGAUAUGAACCCUUAGUCUAGUAAGAACGCAAGCGCUUAAAUGGGGGAAGUAUGUAGGGAUCCGUGCAUGCAUGAGUUUAGUCCCACAUCGGCUAUGCACUAGGUAAAUCUUGGGUACUUAUACAUGACCAAAUAACCCCAAAAAUAUCUUCCGACUAGCCUUUUUGGAUGAGGUCUUGCGUUGUUACAAAUAUGGCACCAAAAUAUUGCCGAACUCCAUAACAUUAGAAAAAUGUGUGGAACUCAAAUUAUCACAAUGUGCGUGGAUUGAGAAUAGGUGAAGACCAAAUUUACAACAAAACUCAUAUAUUUUGAAGCAAUUAAUGCUACAGCAACCUGCAUGUUACCUUAUGGAUAGACAGACUUGUACUUCUUGCCUGAACUGAUGCUAUAUACCAUUAACAUUUCAGAGAUAACCUCCAUUAAUCAAUAAAUUGGCUAAUGAACUAUCAUUAAAGUUAUCACAAGGGAAAGAAGUUAACAUUACAAGAGGUUUUCUUGAAUUAACAUCCAGCAAUGACGGGUAUAUGUUUCUAGAGGCACCAAUUCAGUGGUUGCUCCCAGAGGCACACUUUCCCGUGAAUGCACAAUCAGCAAAAUACACAAAUUCCUAAAGAAGUGAUAAUGUGGUCAGUCGCCAUAUUAAUAUCUUCUCAGCCUAAUUAGUACCUUUGUAAUAUUAGCAUGUAUCUCUUCUUGAUCUGGGUUUGAUUUAUAUGUACAAAACAAUCAGCCUAAUUAGGGUAUCCAGCUCCUCCAAGUACUUAUCUUCAUCACCAUGAAGAAGAGCUUGAAAGAUGAACGCACUGACAACUUGAGAUCCAAACAGAUAAGAAAAUCAAAUCUGAAACAUCAAAGCUCUCAGGAGUUAUAUGUUUUCUUUUAUUCCACGAACGAGAGGAAUUAUGCCAAGAAUGAUAAGAUAUGGUAUUUAUCCAGUAGGCUCUUUAAGACAUUUCAAGAUCCAAAAAGAUAAGAAAUCUGAAAACCACAGAUCUUAUAAAACUCCUAGUUCUUGAUCUUGUUCCAUUGUAUCGUCCAAUGACGAGACUAGUCAGAUAUUCCAUAUACUCCGAUUAGCGAUCUUUCCCGAUCUCCCUAAAAGCGACUUAUUUUCGUCCCAAAACACCAAAGAUGUUAAGGUUUACGCGUUCUUUUGAUACCAAGAACGAGAGAAAACAGCCAAGAAUCCCCAGAUCUGGAGUUCCUCCAAUGAUUUCACUAAUAAUGUUAAAGAUCUAAACAGAAAAAGAUGUAGAAACUUAUAGAUCUUAUAAAACCUUAAAUUCAUAGAAUUCAAGAUCAUGUACAUAAAUCGGAUGGGAGAAAUUUAUCUACGUAUGAGAUCCGGAUCAGAUCAAAGAACGAAAAAAAGAAAGAACUCGAAUAAGUUACCAUAUCAAGAAGAUCGAAGUGGAGAGAGCGACCGGAUUCGAACACCAACCAGGGAGCGAGAGCGAGAUGCCUCCUAUGCACCAGAGCUCUAGAGAGUCGAAAAGAAAACAGAGGAAGCUGGGGAGAGAAUGGAAGCUACCGGGGAGGACCCAUGGAGGCUAACAUAUUCCGUAUAUAUCAGGUGGAUAUCGGCCCUUGGAUGGCGGCGAUCGAGAGAGGACAGCUGUCCC